This 305-nucleotide long non-coding RNA is filed under the name Homo sapiens (human). RNAcentral describes it as "novel transcript". Lineage: Eukaryota; Metazoa; Chordata; Mammalia; Primates; Hominidae. The record is from RNAcentral.
GCAGACACAAUCUGCGAGGGAACCUCGCUGGAGUCUUCUGAGCCCUGAAACCUGGUCCUCAGGGCUGGGACCCGGGCUCCACGCAUGUGGCUGGAGUGCAAUGGCGCGAUCUCGGCUCACCGCAACCUCCUCUUUCCGGGUUCAAGCGAUUCUCCUGCCUCAGCCUCCGGAGUAGCUGGCAUUACAGCCGGGAAGGAACCACUCCAGCCUCCCGUCCAAACAGAACCCUACAGGGCCCUACCUCGAUCAGAGGAAAAACGCACAGAAGCACACGCAUACGGUUUUCGAAAAAUGUCGGGAAGUUC